CCUACGGGGGGCUGCAGUGGGGAAUAUUGGACAAUGGGGGCAACCCUGAUCCAGCCAUGCCGCGUGUGUGAAGAAGGCCCUCGGGUUGUAAAGCACUUUCAGUGAGGAAGAACGCCUGGUGGUUAAUACCCAUCAGGAAAGACAUCACUCACAGAAGAAGCACCGGCUAACUCCGUGCCAGCAGCCGCGGUAAUACGGAGGGUGCGAGCGUUAAUCGGAAUUACUGGGCGUAAAGCGCGCGUAGGUGGCUUGAUAAGCCGGUUGUGAAAGCCCCGGGCUCAACCUGGGAACGGCAUCCGGAACUGUCAAGCUAGAGUGCAGGAGAGGAAGGUAGAAUUCCCGGUGUAGCGGUGAAAUGCGUAGAGAUCGGGAGGAAUACCAGUGGCGAAGGCGGCCUUCUGGACUGACACUGACACUGAGGUGCGAACGCGUGGGUAGCAAACAGGAUUAGAUACCCUAGUAGUC
This 465-nucleotide ribosomal RNA is filed under the name Vreelandella stevensii. RNAcentral's name for it is "partial 16S ribosomal RNA". It matches the Rfam family "Bacterial small subunit ribosomal RNA", at positions 338 to 795 of the family's 1533-position model. The record is from RNAcentral. Lineage: Bacteria; Pseudomonadati; Pseudomonadota; Gammaproteobacteria; Oceanospirillales; Halomonadaceae.